ACCCCCUGGCAUUGGGUAAGGAGACACCUGAUUGGUGGUGGUGCUCUUAUAUCAGUCAGGGGCAAAGCAGAUGUACAGUCCUUAGUUCAUCCUACCUUCAUGCCUGUGUCGGUGGCCAGAGCUGUUUCAUGCCUGAGGCACAUAA
RNAcentral lists this small nucleolar RNA (145 nucleotides) under Myotis davidii. RNAcentral describes it as "Small nucleolar RNA SNORA48". It matches the Rfam family "Small nucleolar RNA SNORA48". Rfam says of the family: The snoRNA ACA 48 has been identified to guide pseudouridylation of the residue U3797 in the 28S rRNA subunit. Its host gene EIF4A1 (eukaryotic translation initiation factor 4A1) is shared with U67 and snoRNA mgU6-77 The record is from Rfam by way of RNAcentral. Lineage: Eukaryota; Metazoa; Chordata; Mammalia; Chiroptera; Vespertilionidae.